Molecule: long non-coding RNA, 892 nt
Organism: Ostrea edulis (European flat oyster)
Lineage: Eukaryota; Metazoa; Mollusca; Bivalvia; Ostreida; Ostreidae
Exons: 3
Source: RefSeq, a predicted model, not a curated record
CAGUCUGAGCAAACCGGUUUUAUACUAUAGAGACUCUUUGGACUUUAUAGUCGUAGGUUCUAUUGUAUGACGUGGCCCUAAUCUGUAACAAAUAUACCAAAUAUGACGUAAAAUUAUUUUGAAUUACGUUUCUCGCUCGCGGAGACAAUCUUCUAAAACAGCUUUGUCAUUAUAUCCGUCGACGUAAUUUACACGCUUGACACUCGCUGUUUAUAAAAUCCGUGCAAUUAAAGCAUCGAUGUAACUAAGAAGAUUCAGAGCACGUGCGCGUAUUGGCAGACAAUCGAUGAGAAAGAUUUUCCAACAGUAAGUAGAAAAAUGAAAUUAAUGCCAAAUAUAGGCUUACAUUCAAAAGUAUAUUUUUUGUAUAUAAAGUCAGGUUAUAAGCAGUGUAGGCAUACAUAUCAGAACUAAAGAAGGAGAGAAGAGUAACCACAAACGACGAUGUAAUUUUUGUAAACGUUUUGUUAAUAUCAGGAAAGUUUCUAUAUUCAGCCUAAACAUAUGUAUAUUGGGCAUAGCUGAUUUAGUAGUUACAAGUAUACUCUUUAUAUUGAUAUUUAGAGCAAUUAAUAAUCGCAACAACUAACGGGGAAGCUGGUCGUGGUCGUGAAGAUACAGCUGUUUACCCGAAACAUCACUAGAACCUCAGGACAAAGUCGUGGAAAAUUCUCAACAAUGUAAAUAAGUAGACAGCAAGAAAGUUGAUACAUAGGGCAUUGCAAUCAAGCAGCCACUACUACGGGAUGUGGAUUAAAGUUACUCACAAUACAAUUGUCCCUACAACAGUUACUGCCAGAAAAAAGAGCAUCCGACAAUAAUGCUGGUGCAGCGCAAACUGAAUAAUAACUAUGUACUCAGAGACAUAAAUAAAUGCUGAUUCCUUCCGACA